This 253-nucleotide ribosomal RNA is filed under the name Ligilactobacillus salivarius. RNAcentral describes it as "partial 16S ribosomal RNA". It matches the Rfam family "Bacterial small subunit ribosomal RNA", at positions 524 to 776 of the family's 1533-position model. RNAcentral also lists the same sequence under 1 other name. The record is from RNAcentral. Lineage: Bacteria; Bacillati; Bacillota; Bacilli; Lactobacillales; Lactobacillaceae.
UACGUAGGUGGCAAGCGUUGUCCGGAUUUAUUGGGCGUAAAGGGAACGCAGGCGGUCUUUUAAGUCUGAUGUGAAAGCCUUCGGCUUAACCGGAGUAGUGCAUUGGAAACUGGAAGACUUGAGUGCAGAAGAGGAGAGUGGAACUCCAUGUGUAGCGGUGAAAUGCGUAGAUAUAUGGAAGAACACCAGUGGCGAAAGCGGCUCUCUGGUCUGUAACUGACGCUGAGGUUCGAAAGCGUGGGUAGCAAACAGG